AAACUAACAAGGAUUCCCUGAGUAACGGCGAGCGAAAAGGGAAUAGCCCAGCGCCGAAUCUCUUGUCCUCCGGGCAAGAAGACAUGUGGCGUUUGGGACGAGGCUUUGCCUGUGCAGAAUGGUCAUCCAAGUCCCUCUUGAACGGGGCCAUAGCCCAUGGAGGGUGCUAGGCCCGUAUGAUGACUUUAUUGUGCAGUGCGUCUUGUCCGUAGAGUCGGGUUGCUUGGGAGUGCAGCCCAAAUCAGGUGGUAAACUCCAUCUAAGGCUAAAUAUGACCACGAGACCGAUAGCGAACAAGUACCGUGAGGGAAAGUUGAAAAGAACUUUGAAGAGAGAGUUAAAAAGUACGUGAAACCUCUCGGGGGUAAGCGGGCAGAACUUGCAAGUAUUGGCUGGGAACAUUCAGGCUUAGUGUUGGUGGCUUGUGAUGCACGUUUUGUUGCUCUUUCGGGAGUUGACUGCCGUGUGUUGCUUGUUCUACUGACGAUGCGCCGCAUUUGUUCCUGUCAUCGGGUUGCAUGCGACUUGAUGGUAAUUUAGGUGCUGGGUGUUUGCAAAUCCUUGUGGUUUGAGCCCUGGUCUCCAAAUGCUGUUGUGGUCGUUGAAAUUACGAGUAGGCGCUUGUUGCGGUCAAAAGAUUUCGCGAGUUGGGUGCUUAUGAUAUGUGGACGGGUAACCGUAGCAUGUUGUCUGUACCUGCUGUCAGUGAGAUUUUGUAUUGGCACUGCUCUGAUUGCAAUCUAAAGCAUGCG
This 752-nucleotide ribosomal RNA is filed under the name Homidia tiantaiensis. RNAcentral describes it as "eukaryotic LSU rRNA". It matches the Rfam family "Eukaryotic large subunit ribosomal RNA", at positions 62 to 628 of the family's 3401-position model. The record is from RNAcentral. Lineage: Eukaryota; Metazoa; Arthropoda; Collembola; Entomobryomorpha; Entomobryidae.